GAUGCGUGCAUAUUUACUGGAGUACUCCCUCCAUUGUCCGUCUUAUUUAAAUUUUUGUAUGAUUAGUACUUUUAUUAUUAUUAGAUUAUAAAACAUUAAUAAUACUUUAUGCGUGACUUUUGUUUUUCAGCUUUUUCAAAAAAAAAAAUUCAAACAAGUCAAACGCUUAAAGUUAGACACGGACUUAUGGUUAUGCUUAUU
Molecule: microRNA precursor, 201 nt
Filed under: Oryza meridionalis
Lineage: Eukaryota; Viridiplantae; Streptophyta; Magnoliopsida; Poales; Poaceae
Description: MIR812 microRNA precursor family
Rfam family: MIR812 microRNA precursor family
Source: Rfam by way of RNAcentral